Molecule: long non-coding RNA, 751 nt
Organism: Glycine soja
Lineage: Eukaryota; Viridiplantae; Streptophyta; Magnoliopsida; Fabales; Fabaceae
Exons: 4
Source: RefSeq, a predicted model, not a curated record
UUUGAAUCUUGAGUGUUAGAUGGUUUUUCAAAAUUGUGGGCCAUAGGAGAAGAACCUGCAGAGACUGAUUUGCGUGACCAUGGAUUAUUUCGUCUAAAUACUGCUGUCAUCAAGCCACAACCAGGUUUCCUCUCAGAGAAAAUAAAACCACCAAACUCGGUCGUAGGCUUAACGAGGAUCUCUACAAUUUUAGAAAUGACAAUGCUUCAUUUAGAAAACAACACCACAGGAAGAAAAAAAAGAAGCAUUUGAGCCUUACACGUUUCCAGCUUCUACAUGUCAAACAUUAUGACAACCACAAAAUAAAUAAGGGGCAUUCUACGAGGAAUUGCAAAGUAAGCAGAAAUAAAUGAAAAAAGAUGCAGGCAUUUUACAACCCCACAUGUGAAUUAUGUGGCAGCAUUACAAAGUGUAGGAGCAUGAGGCCCCCCAGUCCAAAAAUAAAAAUUGCAUUCUAUUAUCCCAUUGAUCAGAAGAUCAGCAAUGAUCAGUGGAGAACAAUGGGUGGAGGGGACGGUGACCACAUCCAGUUAAUACAAAUUAAAGUAGUUUUACAUGUUCAAGUAACUUAAACAAUACACUAUUAGCUCAACAGUUUUGGUCAGAUUAAUGGAAGGGCCAUGUGUGCGUAUUGAUUUGUACAUUUCAAGGAAUAAAGAAAUCUAUAUAUAUGUGUAGGCGUCAACAUGUAAGUAGCACUGGGUAGUACAUCACCAUUGAAAUAGACUUUCUGGAUAGGAAUUAACUUCAA